Molecule: long non-coding RNA, 474 nt
Filed under: Equus caballus (horse)
Lineage: Eukaryota; Metazoa; Chordata; Mammalia; Perissodactyla; Equidae
Description: lncRNA (ENSECAG00000054964.1)
Source: RNAcentral
CAGGUUUUAUAGUGAUCUGAGGCAAAGACUAAAUACUAAUCCAAUUUUAGGAGGAACAAUCCCAGACAGUUAAGAGAGGGAAAAAAAGAAAAUGAGUAUCUCUUCAGAAUCCUAAUUAUAGCCCAUAAGAAGGAUGUGCAUCCCUUCACAGCUGGGCAAAGGCCUGGAGUGAGCAAUAGUGAAGUGAACCUGAGCUUGGCUGUCACAGGAAAAGAAUCAGUCAUGAAGAUAAUUAGCGAGCAAGACUAGCUCUGAGCAUUAAACCAAGGAAGCCAUAUGUAUUUAUUUUCUACGGCUGCUGUAAGAAACUACUGCAAAUUGAGUGGUGUGAAACAGCAUAAACUUUUUCUUUCACACAUCUGGAGACUAGAACUCCAAAAUCAAGUUAGCAGGGCCAUACUCUCUCUUAGCUUCUAGCGGUUGCUGGCAAUCUUUGGCAUUCCUUGACUUGUAACGCCAAUCUCUGCCUCCAUC